This 406-nucleotide ribosomal RNA is filed under the name uncultured bacterium. RNAcentral describes it as "partial 16S ribosomal RNA". It matches the Rfam family "Bacterial small subunit ribosomal RNA", at positions 28 to 526 of the family's 1533-position model. The record is from RNAcentral.
GACGAACGCUGGCGGCGUGCCUAACACAUGCAAGUCGAACGAGUGGCGGACGGGUGAGUAAUGUCUGGGAAACUGCCCGAUGGAGGGGGAUAACUACUGGAAACGGUAGCUAAUACCGCAUACCCUCGGAUGUGCCCAGAUUGGAUUAGCUAGUAGGUGGGGUAACGGCUCACCUAGGCGACGAUCCCUAGCUGGUCUGAGAGGGUGAUCGGCCACACGGGAACUGAGAAACGGUCCAGACUCCUACGGGAGGCAGCAGUGGGGAAUAUGGCACAAUGGGGGAAAGCCUGAGGCAGCCAGGCGGGGGGUAUGAAGAAGGCCUUAGGGUUGUAAAGUACUUUCAGCGAGGAGGCGUUACUCGAAGAAGAAGCACCGGCUAACUCCGUGCCAGCAGCCGCGGUAAUAC